GAUGAACGCUGGCGGCGUGCCUAAUACAUGCAAGUCGAGCGAACAGAUAAGGAGCUUGCUCCUUUGACGUUAGCGGCGGACGGGUGAGUAACACGUGGGUAACCUACCUAUAAGACUGGGAUAACUUCGGGAAACCGGAGCUAAUACCGGAUAACAUUUGGAACCGCAUGGUUCUAAAGUGAAAGAUGGUUUUGCUAUCACUUAUAGAUGGACCCGCGCCGUAUUAGCUAGUUGGUAAGGUAACGGCUUACCAAGGCGACGAUACGUAGCCGACCUGAGAGGGUGAUCGGCCACACUGGAACUGAGACACGGUCCAGACUCCUACGGGAGGCAGCAGUAGGGAAUCUUCCGCAAUGGGCGAAAGCCUGACGGAGCAACACCGCGUGAGUGAUGAAGGGUUUCGGCUCGUAAAACUCUGUUAUUAGGGAAGAACAAACGUGUAAGUAACUGUGCACGUCUUGACGGUACCUAAUCAGAAAGCCACGGCUAACUACGUG
This 497-nucleotide ribosomal RNA is filed under the name uncultured bacterium. RNAcentral's name for it is "partial 16S ribosomal RNA". It matches the Rfam family "Bacterial small subunit ribosomal RNA", at positions 28 to 507 of the family's 1533-position model. The record is from RNAcentral.